GACGAACGCUGGCGGCGUGCUUAACACAUGCAAGUCGAACGGAAAGGCCUCAGCUUGCUGGGGUACUCGAGUGGCGAACGGGUGAGUAACACGUGGGUGAUCUGCCUUGCACUCUGGGAUAAGCUUGGGAAACUGGGUCUAAUACCGGAUAUGAACUGCCUUUAGUGUGGUGGUUGGAAAGUUUUUUCGGUGCAAGAUGAGCUCGCGGCCUAUCAGCUUGUUGGUGGGGUAAUGGCCUACCAAGGCGUCGACGGGUAGCCGGCCUGAGAGGGUGUACGGCCACAUUGGGACUGAGAUACGGCCCAGACUCCUACGGGAGGCAGCAGUGGGGAAUAUUGCACAAUGGGCGGAAGCCUGAUGCAGCGACGCCGCGUGGGGGAUGACGGCCUUCGGGUUGAAAACUCCUUUCGACAGGGACGAAGCUUUUUGUGACGGUACCUGUAUAAGAAGCACCGGCUAACUACGUG
Molecule: ribosomal RNA, 467 nt
Filed under: uncultured bacterium
Lineage: Bacteria
Description: partial 16S ribosomal RNA
Rfam family: Bacterial small subunit ribosomal RNA
Source: RNAcentral